Molecule: long non-coding RNA, 3084 nt
Organism: Cataglyphis hispanica
Lineage: Eukaryota; Metazoa; Arthropoda; Insecta; Hymenoptera; Formicidae
Exons: 2
Source: RefSeq, a predicted model, not a curated record
AUGCAUAAAUGCUUAUAUUUAACAUUCAUUAAUAGAUAAAAAAAAUUAAAAUAUUUAUAUAUAUUUAACAGAAUAUACACAUAAAUGUUGACAACAUAAAGUGGCGGGUUAAUCACACACACAUUAAUUGCAACUAUACAUAUAGAUAUUAAAAAAUAUAUAGUAAAAAUGCAAGACGCCAUGGAUCCAUUGAUUUUUUGCGUCAUUUUUAAAUGAACUAAAAAUUUGGUAGCUAUGGCUUUUGUGAUUGCAUAGGAGUUUCCCCUCGGAAAGAUAAUAAAAUACCACAUGAUGACAAUAAUGUGCAAUGUGACAUUAUAACUGUGACAUUAUUAAUUUUAACAAGACAUAAAGGCACGAGAUCGCGAAAAUGAAUUAUAUUAAGUAUAAUUGCCUAAGUUAUGAAACGUUCAUUUGUAAUAUUCACGAAGUGAAUUUCCCUCAAGUAAUAGUCUCCCGCGAGAGUAACUCGGUGGGGAGUCUUGACGUAUGAGACGCACGCCCCUACUUCGCGCCCUACAUCUAGCCAUAAUAGUAAUCAGUUGGAAGUCGAAGACGAAGGAACGAAGAGAAACCGUGCUUCUUCUAGAGUGCGCUGACACGCUCUUCUCCGUAUUAUUUCUGGCAUGACUGAAUCAUUGGCAGCUGGCUGAGGACGGAGCCAAAAUAGUUAACUACCUCGACCAGCUUCUUCCUUUGAAAUUACCAUGCUGACGAAGCGUUGAGCGAAGGUGGUAGUCUAGAAGUCUGGGAUCAAAGACAGAGAGCUGGACCACGGAAAAGAAUAUCUCCUUGAUGAAUCAUCGUGCCCAUUUGUUCUCUUGAAAAGUAUACUAUCGUCCCAUCUUCAAGGUCGCUCAAAGCUGUUCAUACUUUUUUUACUCAUAAUAUUCAUGGCUCGCGUUUAAAACACGAAGAACUGAAUUUAAUUCUUGAGAAUUCUUCUUUUCACCAGUUAAAUAUUUAGAAAUAACUGAAGAAGAUUGAAGCGUCUAUUUUUUUGAAAAUAUACUCGUUCAAUUUGAUGUGUGAAAUUUCCGACGAUUGGGAACCAAUAUUCAAAAUCUUUGAUGCUCAUGUAGAAUUUAUAAUUCACAUAAAUUUCUGAUGAAUAAUAGAUAUUUUUAGCAAUAUAUGUAACACGCCUAAGUACUCUCCAUUUAAAGAUUCGUGUAUACCAUGCAAUGCAUUUUAAAAUAUAAAAAAUCGUAUAAUAAACUUACAAAUUAUUAAUAGAGUAAUAUUAAAAAGUAAAGGUUUAAAGUUUAAAAUAUAAAGAUGGUAGACUAAUGCGGAUUAUAAAUCAGUUUUAAACAAUUUUUAAAGCGUUUAUAAGCAAGAACAAUCCACGAUUCGUUGUGGUCGAUGAAUCUUCGCGGAGUUCCAAGCCGGCGGCCAAAUAUAGCUAGGUAAUGUAAUACACAUCACGUGUUCAAAAAUAGCUUAAGAAAAGGGCCUAGCCGAGUGUGCACACGACACUGCAUCUGCUUUUCCGCUCGGAACGUGUGCCGCCUCACAGAAACGGUUAAUAUAAAUAUACGUGUAUAUAUCUGCGAACUUGUUAUUUAUAAAAACAUCUUAUGCAAACGCAAGUCAAACCGGUUAUAUGCUUCCACGAUAGUUUUUCGAUCAAAGAGAAAUGAGUAAACAAAUUUUCAUUUCUAUAUUAUAUCAGCUCUCUUCCUUUAUAAACUUUGUGCUAUGUUUUUUCCCCUCUUGAUACACCUCAGAGAUUUCAACGGAAGCACGUUCUUCGUUACAAAGAUCCAAUGAUAUGCAGAUAUGGUUUUAUUUCACUAUGAAAAGAGUAUCGAGUGUAAUUCGAUCUCGAAUAAUUUAUUGCAUAGCGCGAACUUUAUAAACAUUUAACAUUAAUAAUUAUGUACAUUUUACAACAUAUUGAUUCUGAUCAUCUUCUAUUGCCACAAAGGUUUUCUUAUAUAGGAUAAUCGCGAUAAAAUCGUCAUUUACGACGACACUUUUAUCAUUAGGCGACGGUCGUCGAAAUAGCAACAAACGAGACUUGGACGUACUUACAACAUUCGGUUUUAUUGCGACUUUCAUUGUACAAUAAUAAAUAUUCGAUUAGUAAAUUGUUAGAUAUCGGGUAUCUCUAUCCGUGUGUGUAUAUAUUGUGUGAUUUCUUUAGUAAAUGAAUAUUUAUAAUUGUAGUGGGCAUACAUAUAAAUAUAUAUAGAGCAAGAUUAUGUAUGUAUGUAUAAAUGUAUAUAUAUAUAUAUAUUUUUUUUUCUAUUUCACGAUUUAUUUUUUAUAAUAAAUAUCGAGAUUACAGCGAACGAGUAAACGAGUUACGUAUUCAACGCAGUCGCACCGCUACUGAUCCUUUCUCAUUUUUAUCUCAUGAUAUUAACUAAUGUCGCGCAGAAUUUCAUAUUACUACAUUACCUAUUUACAGAGAAUUGAUAAUACUCGUUAUAAGAUUGUGAAUUCACAUUUUUGUCCUGAGUUUAAAGCCUAAAUAUUGAGGACACGGAACACUUGUACAAGACAUUUUGCUCUCUUGGCAUUUGCCUCAAGCUGACCUCAAGUAAUCUGCGCUUGUCCCGACCCAUUACAUUUACAGUUUCGAUUUUUGUUAUAUGAUAUACUGCUUUUACAGCACUUCAAUUUUAGCACCACCUUUGCGACUUUCGUAUACACUUGGAUGAUACAUAUCACGAUAUUUUUCAACGAGAAUCAUUAUAUUUUGCAAUAUAACCCCUCAAGUUUGUUAAUUAAUUACUCCUCGUUUCACUCGCUCAACUAUUCUCAAAAACAUGACGAGUUAGUACAAACUCCCCGGACGCGCGUGACACUGUUGAUUAGAGGAUUAUCGAAGUGAGGAAAUUUAUGGCGAUAUGUCGACAGGUUACGUUUUUUAAAAGAGGCAACAACAAAGCACAAAAAUAGAAUAUGAGGAUAUUUACGCGGCAAAUCGCGCUGCGCGGAGACGGCCGUACUUGAGACGAUCUAAAGAUGUUAAGACUCGCAAUGAAAGAGAACAUUAGGGGGCAAUUGAUUUACGUUAAUAAUGAUCAAAUGUAUAUUAGAAAAAUUUUUAAAUUCUUCCGAUAUGAUCAACUU